GAUGAACGCUGGCGGCGUGCCUAAUACAUGCAAGUCGAGCGAACAGACGAGGAGCUUGCUCCUCUGACGUUAGCGGCGGACGGGUGAGUAACACGUGGAUACCCUACCUAUAAGACUGGGAUAACUUCGGGAAACCGGAGCUAAUACCGGAUAAUAUAUUGAACCGCAUGGUUCAAUAGUGAAAGACGGUUUUGCUGUCACUUAUAGAUGGAUCCGCGCCGCAUUAGCUAGUUGGUAAGGUAACGGCUUACCAAGGCAACGAUGCGUAGCCGACCUGAGAGGGUGAUCGGCCACACUGGAACUGAGACACGGUCCAGACUCCUACGGGAGGCAGCAGUAGGGAAUCUUCCGCAAUGGGCGAAAGCCUGACGGAGCAACGCCGCGUGAGUGAUGAAGGUCUUCGGAUCGUAAAACUCUGUUAUUAGGGAAGAACAAAUGUGUAAGUAACUAUGCACGUCUUGACGGUACCUAAUCAGAAAGCCACGGCUAACUACGUG
RNAcentral lists this ribosomal RNA (497 nucleotides) under uncultured bacterium. Its description in RNAcentral is "partial 16S ribosomal RNA". It matches the Rfam family "Bacterial small subunit ribosomal RNA", at positions 28 to 507 of the family's 1533-position model. The record is from RNAcentral.